Molecule: long non-coding RNA, 486 nt
Organism: Amphimedon queenslandica
Lineage: Eukaryota; Metazoa; Porifera; Demospongiae; Haplosclerida; Niphatidae
Exons: 3
Source: RefSeq, a predicted model, not a curated record
CAGAUUUUUGAGUUACAGCCAUUUUAAAAUAACACCUGAUAUCAGAUUUAUUGUGUUGUAUAGUAAAAAUAGUUUGUUGUACAUGUAUAUCAGUACAUGUAAUUAUUUGAAUCCUCCAAGAAUUGAACAGAAGUACAUGUACAUGUAUCAUUAAUUCAGGGAAGGGACAAAGAGAAGGACAAGGAGCAGGUGGAGUAGCUGGAGGAAAUGAAGAAGAGAAAGAUGAUGAGAAUGGAACAAUUGCUCUAGAAUCAUAUGAUCAACCAAACACUUUAUCAUCACUCACAUGUAUUCAUUAGAAAAGAGUAUCAUCAGCAUGAACUCAGGCAAGAUUUCAAAUUUCAAUUUGAUCCUUCUUUUGGAUGCCUUGAGCUAGUGUUUUGUACUUUUGUCCUCAGGAUGAACCAAUAACUGGUUGGACUGUUUGUCCUGAUAUAGAUUGAAGAAGGAGAUUUAGAUCAUUUUGGUCAUGAGAGUAAUAAUAUA